GAUGAACGCUGGCGGCGUGCCUAAUACAUGCAAGUCGAGCGAACGGACGAGAAGCUUGCUUCUCUGAUGUUAGCGGCGGACGGGUGAGUAACACGUGGAUAACCUACCUAUAAGACUGGGAUAACUUCGGGAAACCGUAGCUAAUACCGGAUAAUAUUUUGAACCGCAUGGUUCAAAAGUGAAAGACGGUCUUGCUGUCACUUAUAGAUGGAUCCGCGCUGCAUUAGCUAGUUGGUAAGGUAACGGCUUACCAAGGCAACGAUGCAUAGCCGACCUGAGAGGGUGAUCGGCCACACGGGAACUGAGACACGGUCCAGACUCCUACGGGAGGCAGCAGUAGGGAAUCUUCCGCAAUGGGCGAAAGCCUGACGGAGCAACGCCGCGGGAGUGAUGAAGGUCUUCGGAUCGUAAAACGCUGUUAUUAGGGAAGAACAUAUGUGUAAGUAACUGUGCACAUCUUGACGGUACAGAAUCAGAAAGCCACGGCUAACUACGU
RNAcentral lists this ribosomal RNA (496 nucleotides) under uncultured bacterium. RNAcentral's name for it is "partial 16S ribosomal RNA". It matches the Rfam family "Bacterial small subunit ribosomal RNA", at positions 28 to 506 of the family's 1533-position model. The record is from RNAcentral.